Molecule: ribosomal RNA, 217 nt
Filed under: uncultured delta proteobacterium
Lineage: Bacteria; Deltaproteobacteria
Description: partial 16S ribosomal RNA
Rfam family: Bacterial small subunit ribosomal RNA
Source: RNAcentral
GGAAGUGGGGAUGACGUCAAGUCCUCAUGGCCUUUAUGUCCAGGGCUACACACGUGCUACAAUGGGCGGUACAAAGGGUUGCAAUACCGUAAGGUGGAGCUAAUCCCAAAAAGCCGCUCUCAGUUCAGAUUAGAGUCUGCAACUCGACUUUAUGAAGGCGGAAUCGCUAGUAAUCGCGGAUCAGCAUGCCCGCGGUUCCGAAUACGUUCCGGGCCUU